CAUCAAUCUCUGCCCCCUCCCUGUGUGUUGUAAAAGAAGCAGGGAAACUGAAAGAGGAACACAGGAUAAAAUGUAAUUUACCCUGGGCUCUGCCUCCAACUAACAGUAGAAGACUGGCUGAUGUUGGCUGAUGGGGAUGCCUGCCCCCUUUUUGAGGAAAUAUCUUUCCAUUUUCUGUGUGUGCCAGUCACCGUGGGCAUGAUUCAGUCAGCUGUACUACAUCACUCAUGAACUCUACCUGUUACUCUGCACAGGAUGUUGACAGCAUCUGAGUAGUGGUAUAUAAUAUGCACAGCUUUGGAGAAGGCUCUGUUAGCAGCCUGGUUGCUUGGAAGUAAGAACAACUGGAAUCUCUUUCUAGAAUACACAUAGUAAAAAGCAUGUGUGCUAGCAGUAGCAUCUGUACCAGGACAUGCCACAUAGAUAGUAACAGUAACUCCUCUGGAUUUUACUGGCCAACUUGCAUACCAUGUUUGAAAACUAUACCUGUGUGAAACAGUAUGUCAAUCAGCCAUUGCUAAGACAUCUCUGCAUGUAACUAGUAUUUGAUUGGUAUUGAAACACACUUGUACAAUCAAAUUCACAUUAGCUGAAAUUUCAUGCAUAAUUAUUUCACUUGAUAAUGCAGCAAACAUUCUGCUAUAUCUUGGGGAAAAAUAAUGAAGCCAAAUAUUAUCAGAGUGGCUUAUAUUAUUCAAUGAAUUGAUGAAAGAUAAAACAGAGUUUUUCAACUGAGAAGAUAGUCAUGUGGUAGUCAAUGGCACCAUACCACACACACACACAUAUAUGCUUUAACUGGAUUCAGGAUGUCACUAAAAUGAGUGUUAGUAUAUAAAAUAAGUAUGUAGGAAUGAUAAUGAUGAUCAUAGUGGAAAUACAGUGAAGGGAAUUUAGUGACUUGUUUCAAAAUUUCAAUAUUCAUUAGUUAAUACUGCAAAAAUAUUCUUUGAGUUUGAAUAGUCACCGUGAAACCAAAAUAAAUAAUAAAUAAUAAAUGCCAAAUGCAUGCUGGCCUCCAUGGAACGACACAUAAUGCCAAACAGAAAAACAUGAAAUUUUUAAGAGAGGAGAAA
Molecule: non-coding RNA, 1073 nt
Organism: Peromyscus maniculatus bairdii (prairie deer mouse)
Lineage: Eukaryota; Metazoa; Chordata; Mammalia; Rodentia; Cricetidae
Source: RefSeq, a predicted model, not a curated record